AAAGAACUAAGAGAGCUUUUCGGGACCAGGAUUUUCCUUUUCCAGCACAAGCAAUGGGUAGUGAAAAUACUUUGAACUUUUUGGCAUAUUGGAUGUGACCUUUUCUUGGAAGGGCAAUAAGCUGUAGUCUUGUAGAUAUUUGUGGCUUAAAAAGAAGACAAUUGAGAAUAAUACUUGCUUUGUUGAAAGAAAAUAAAACAAAUACAAAUAAAACCUCAUCAAAAUGAAAGCAUCUCCAAUCUCAUUUUGUAUAUGGUAGAGAAACCCUUCUAAAGAUCAAAAAAUGGAGCAUUAGAAGGAAUCCAUGAGAACUAUUCUACUAAGAAAGUAUGCUGCACAACAGUCUUUAAAAGUU
This 355-nucleotide unclassified non-coding RNA is filed under the name Hevea brasiliensis (rubber tree). The record is from RNAcentral. Lineage: Eukaryota; Viridiplantae; Streptophyta; Magnoliopsida; Malpighiales; Euphorbiaceae.